RNAcentral lists this ribosomal RNA (448 nucleotides) under uncultured bacterium. RNAcentral's name for it is "partial 16S ribosomal RNA". It matches the Rfam family "Bacterial small subunit ribosomal RNA", at positions 29 to 523 of the family's 1533-position model. The record is from RNAcentral.
AACGAACGCUGGCGGCAGGCCUAACACAUGCAAGUCGGACGCCCUGGCAACAGGGAGUGGCAGACGGGUGAGUAACGCGUGGGAACGUGCCCUUCGGUUCGGAAUAACUCAGGGAAACUUGAGCUAAUACCGAAUACGUGCGAGAGCAGAAAGAUUUAUCGCCGAAGGAGCGGGACGCGUCCGAUUAGCUAGUUGGUGAGGUAAUGGCUCACCAAGGCGACGAUCGGUAGCUGGUCUGAGAGGAUGAGCAGCCACACUGGGACUGAGACACGGCCCAGAGUCCUACGUGAGGCAGCAGUGGGGAAUAUUGGACAAUGGGCGCAAGCCUGAUCCAGCCAUGCCGCGUGAGUGAUGAAGGCCCUAGGGUUGUAAGCUCUUUCGCCAGGGACGAUAAUGACGGUACCUGGAUAAGAAGCCCCGGCUAACUUCGUGCCAGCCGCCGCGGUAA